UGAUAUGUCUGGUAUUCUUGGGUUUCAUUGACAACCAGAACUAUUAGACAUAUCGAA
This 57-nucleotide microRNA precursor is filed under the name Heligmosomoides polygyrus. RNAcentral describes it as "microRNA hpo-mir-50 precursor". Its record names the gene hpo-mir-50. It matches the Rfam family "mir-50 microRNA precursor family", at positions 8 to 68 of the family's 75-position model. The record is from miRBase by way of RNAcentral. Lineage: Eukaryota; Metazoa; Nematoda; Chromadorea; Rhabditida; Heligmosomidae.